This is a long non-coding RNA of Triticum dicoccoides, 4209 nucleotides long. RefSeq lists it as uncharacterized. The record is from RefSeq and is a predicted model, not a curated record. The transcript is spliced from 8 exons. Lineage: Eukaryota; Viridiplantae; Streptophyta; Magnoliopsida; Poales; Poaceae.
CUCGUCUCCCGUCUCCAGGGGCAGCCGUCUGCAUCUCGUUCCCCUCUCCCUCCGACAUGGCCGCCCCCAUCCACCGCCCACCCCCGCCGCCGCUGCCCUCACCCUCUCCCUGCCCAGGCCCCACAUCAAGCAGCGGCCAUGGCGUUCCCGGCCGCCGUGGUGCGUGAUUCCCACCUCUACCUCUGCCUCGCCGUGGAUGGGAAGAUCGGAAUCCUCCAUGGACGGACGCACUGAUGGGGGUCUCGUCUGACGACGGAGGCGGACCACCAGGAGGAGUUGCCGUGAGACGACACCGACGGUCGGCUCCUUCUCCACAACAACACAACACCGACCGUGGGGACUCCCGUUCUUCCACCCUGAUGGCCUCUCCUCCGGCGCCCCUGUUCUUCUUCCACUCCAGCACGAUGGUGCACGACAGAGCCGGCUGCGUGUGGUGCGUGCGGGGGGAUUCUUCUUCCACUCUGGCAAUCUGAGAGCAGCCAAGCAAGGUUAUUGAGAUAUGUAUCUUGCGAUUCUUUGUGUGCCGGUUACAUCUGCGGGUACGGCUGCACGAGUUCAUGUCUGUCAUUCACACAUGCAAAUUGUGAUGCCUGCUGCUUGCGACAGUUUCGCCCCUGUUCUUCUUCUACUCCGGCAAGAUGGAUUCAAACUUGGUUCUGAAAAGCACACCACAGAGGUCACCGUGAAGAAGUCUGGAAGCCUGCUUAUAAAUUCUGGGAUACAAGGAUACUCCCUGCUAAAGACAACUCAGUCUGGAUUUGAAGGAUUCAUGAGGGAUCGCUACACUCUUCUUCCUGAAACAAGAGAAAGAAUUGUAGCUACAGAAGUAACUGCUUGGUGGAGCAGAUGAGAGGCUGGAAUGUUCCAUCCAAAUAGUUUAAUCAGAAACUGCACUGGCAAAGGUCUAGAGGAUGUAGAGGAGCUCCAGUUUGAUCCUAAGGAUGGCAUUGCUUUUUUUCUUCUUAUGCUCCAGUUUGCAGCAGCAUCUCCGACACCCUCUCGACGAAUUGCAGGUAGAUUGUAGCUGAGGAUGCGGCGAUGACCACCGAGGACCGGAGUGCAUGCUCGGUGGCAGAAGCAUCAGGGUGCUCCACGCUCAACAUCUUCUCAGCAUAGCUGCUCGAUCAGUAGUUUUGAUUGAUCUAUUUGAUAAUUUAAGCCAUCCAGUUGAUGUUCUUGGUUCGCUCAUGCUCUUUUCUUAUGUUGUUGUUUAAUCACUAUUGGCUUGGAUAUUCUCUAUAGCAUCUCAACAAUUCACUGCAACUGGCCAGGUUAUUCUGUAUAUUUGAUACUGUACGAGAGUAGCAGUCGGACUCAAAAAAUCACAACAUUCUGCAGGUACAGCAACCACUUGACGCCGAUCCUUGAUCUCAUGUUAUAUGAGUAGGUUAUAAAUUUUUAGUAACUAAAUUCACAUUAGUUUUUGAAGCACAAAUUGAUGUCUGUAAGUUAUUUAGGAUAACAUUUUGCUCCAUUUGGUAGAUAUAUAACAAGACAAUAUAGAGGGAUGUAGAGAGCUAUUUUUUUGUUAAAAUAAACAGUGGAAACGGUUGGCUUUAAUCAGAUAUGUUUGCUGAAAUCCAUUUGGAUAUUUUUUUCUCUUUUCUUAGCUUGGUCGCACAUGGAUCAGCUUAGUGUGUCUACCUUUUUCACUAAAGUGUGGAUAUUUAUGUAUAGAGUAAAACGUGUCCAUGCUAUUUAUUUUCCAUAGUCAUUGUUGCCUAUACCAUAUUUAAAUUGUUGUCUUUAUUGUCCUUAUCUGAUGAUAGCCCAUUGGGAAAUGAAAGAAAGUGGGUUAAAUACUUUGUUUCUUUAUUUUAGGUCCAAAUUUACAUUGAUCGUUUAGUGGUUCAUCGAAAUUCUUCUGCCUAUGACUUUGAAAUUGGCCAGUAAAAGCCAACAUCCACCCUCUUCACAAGCCGCAGUCAGGGAUUCGUUCAUUUUAGUGUGAGUAAGGAUGGGAACAUUGAUCUAUAUAUGGUAAUAUUUCAUGCUGAUUUCAUUUCUCAUUUCAUUGAUCAUCCGUGUUACUCCUUUGACAAAUGAUAUUUAUAGUACUUCUGGAUGACAAAGACUUUGAGUUCUGUGUGAAGCUCCAAAAGGAAUACCUAUAAGACUCCUUCAUCAACUUAGUAAGAUUGCAUAUGCCCUUUGCGUUGCACAGGUCCAACGCCUCGCUCCUCUACUCAUAGUGAAAAAAAACUUAGGUACUCUGAAAUUUAUCUUUUCUUCCCCUCAUGCUUUGUUAGGUUAGAUCAAUAGUUUUAUCUUAUUGGACCUGUGCAUUUUGAGAGUCCUAAAUGGGAACAUUAAAUUUACUUGGACCCUAUCUUAUUCUCAUAUCUGUAACUAGCUUUGCUUGUCAUUUAGAAGGGACGACCUAAGGAGUAGAGAGAUUCGAGGCAAUCAAAAUCCUGCAUAUGUAUGUUUACAUGCGUUUGAUAAUCCUAUGCCAGGGCCACAUAUAUAGGGACAUUCAAAAUUCUACACCAGGUUUACAUAUAUAGGGACAUAUUCAGCUGAGGUUCACGUAUAUACAAACCUGAAACUAUAUGCUUCAAACCGGAUGUGGCAGUAAUCCACUCAUCAUGCAAAACAAAACAAAAAUCUGUUACCUAGCAUGUAUUUGUUUGUACAGAUGAUGCAAUGUACUACAUUUUGUUUGCAUAAUACAUCACCUAGCAUGUAUUUUUUAUAAUCGAGCACCGCGACGAAUCUGUUAUUUACCUUAGGAGGGUAAGAAAAAACACAAUCAAUGAUAUUAUACAUAAUUCUAGACAUUGUUUUAGAGUAUGUUCUGAAGUAUAUUUUUCUUCCAGUAAAUGUUGGAAAUGUCUAUGUACUUUUUUCUCCCAAUAUGUUAUGGUCAUCUUCCUGCUAUGCAUAUAAAUUUCAUGGCCAGCUUACCAGCUGGUGGUUGGCGAUCCUUUCUAUCUUCUUCCUCGCCGGCUCGAUAAAUCUCUUGGUUUCCUUCUCCUACCACUAUUCCUCCCUUGUGCUCUGUAACUCGGCCAUUGAUGUGGCUGUUAGUAAUAAGAUGGUAAUAUUUGUUUUAUAGAAAUACUUGUUUUUUUGCGGGUGUUUAGAAAUACUUGUUAGUUGCACAGGUGUACCCUGCAAGGAAUAAUUUUACAAUGGAAAUGCAUAUCUGUUGAAUUGAUGACUAAACAAGUUUGCGGGCACAUCUCUGAAAAUACAAGCAAAUACAGACAUAGAUUUAAGGGUUCUCAUUCAUUUAAAUCUCAAUGUUGAGAGAAGCCGAUCUCUGGAUAUGAGUAUUUUCUUCCCUGUUUGCGUGAUUGUUUAAUUGAAUGGAUAACUGUGUCUCCUGAAUAUUGUCCCAUAUAAUUGUUUUAAAUCUACCGAAUUAGUUCUCUAAAUCAGUUGAUAUUUUGCAAAGCUUCAAGCUUUAGUUUUUGCACUUCAUGACAUCAAUUGUUUGUGCAGAUUCAAGAUUUAUUUCUGUACUGGAUGAUAGCAGUGAUUAGUGAUUACUGUCACAUGCUGCUGUUGUCAUCCAUAUCUCCUCAGGUGCCUUAGGUUUGUGAUGCGAAAGUUGUUCUACAUAUGUAAAUUGUUCUGUUCUUCUUUCGCCAAUACAUUAAUAAGCCCGCGAUACACUUUGCUUCUUUUUUAUCUAAUGUCUAUUUGUAGACUAAGUGUUUUAUUUAUGAUAGUGGAUUUCUGGCGUACAUGUGAAUAUCUCAUGUAUAUACAAUCAGUACACUCACCUGAACGAGAAUGUUAGCAAGCAGAGCGGGGUUGCGUCUUGUCCUUCUAGCGUCGAAGGUCCGGUGCACCCAUGGGUGUGCCUUUGCUGGUUUCUGACUGUCACAAAGAAGUCAGAGCUGUGGGCGGCGAGGCCACUGCGGCAACGAUGACUAUGAGAACAGUUUUCAGCAAGCGGUGCUCCCCGAAUGUUGCGUUGAACUACGUCAUUGCGUGGCUUGCAACCUUCUCCUAUGAAGCCCGUAUGCAAAAUCGAAACUGUCAUGUCCUCGAUGUUGUGCUCGACUAUUCAUUGUUGCUUUGUGGCUCCGUGCAUCCUCUCCACAGUUAUAUCGUUUUUUGUGAUGUAAUCUUAUUAGUGGUUGGGUCAUCCAUGCGAGCCCCUUCUGAAGUUUGUAGUCUAGGUUAGAUACAUCCGUAUGUAGACAAAUUGAAGACAAAUAAUAUGGAAAGGAGGGAGUAUAUUAUUUGACUCAAGCA